GAAAACAACACCCACUAUUCACUUUUGCUGCCACCAGCUCCCACUGGGAAAACUACAGACUCUGAAAUACCAAUCCUGAAUAUUACCUUCAGUCAGAAGCACCAAGGCAAGACACCAGUGGUUUAUAGUUUUCAAGUGCAGACAUGGAAGUUGGAGCCAAAAGCAUCUCCCCAAAUGUCACUGUAAAAGAUCUGCACCAGGACAGGAUGGAGCUUUCUGAGCCUCCAGGAAUUUGCUGUAGUUCCAUGUCAUGCGUGAGGAAAAACCCUCCAGCACUUGGAGCUAUCUCUGAAGGAUAUUCUCCCUUU
Poecile atricapillus (Black-capped chickadee) is the source of this 308-nucleotide long non-coding RNA. RefSeq lists it as uncharacterized. NCBI's taxonomy places the organism in Eukaryota, Metazoa, Chordata, Aves, Passeriformes, Paridae. The record is from RefSeq and is a predicted model, not a curated record. The transcript is spliced from 3 exons.